CUGCGAAAGCCGGAUUAAUACCGCAUACGCUCUAUGGAGGAAAGCGGGGGACUCGCAAGGGCCUCGCGCUCAAGGGGCGGCCGAUGGCGGAUUAGCUAGUUGGUGGGGUAAAGGCCUACCAAGGCGACGAUCCGUAGCUGGUCUGAGAGGACGACCAGCCACACUGGGACUGAGACACGGCCCAGACUCCUACGGGAGGCAGCAGUGGGGAAUUUUGGACAAUGGGGGCAACCCUGAUCCAGCAAUGCCGCGUGUGUGAAGAAGGCCUUCGGGUUGUAAAGCACUUUUGUCCGGAAAGAAAACCUGCCUGUUAAUACCGGGUGGGGAUGACGGUACCGGAAGAAUAAGCACCGGCUAACUACGUGCCAGCAGCUGCGGUAAUACGUAGGGUGCGAGCGUUAAUCGGAAUUACUGGGCGUAAAGCGUGCGCAGGCGGUUUGCUAAGACCGAUGUGAAAUCCCCGGGCUUAACCUGGGAACUGCAUUGGUGACUGGCAAGCUAGAGUAUGGCA
RNAcentral lists this ribosomal RNA (511 nucleotides) under uncultured Burkholderia sp. RNAcentral's name for it is "bacterial SSU rRNA". It matches the Rfam family "Bacterial small subunit ribosomal RNA", at positions 149 to 653 of the family's 1533-position model. The record is from RNAcentral. Lineage: Bacteria; Pseudomonadati; Pseudomonadota; Betaproteobacteria; Burkholderiales; Burkholderiaceae.